Molecule: ribosomal RNA, 509 nt
Filed under: uncultured bacterium
Lineage: Bacteria
Description: bacterial SSU rRNA
Rfam family: Bacterial small subunit ribosomal RNA
Source: RNAcentral
AUUGAACGCUGGCGGCAGGCCUAACACAUGCAAGUCGAACGGUAACAGGAAGAAGCUUGCUUCUUUGCUGACGAGUGGCGGACGGGUGAGUAAUGUCUGGGAAACUGCCUGAUGGAGGGGGAUAACUACUGGAAACGGUAGCUAAUACCGCAUAACGUCGCAAGACCAAAGAGGGGGACCUUCGGGCCUCUUGCCAUCGGAUGUGCACAGAUGGGAUUAGCUAGUAGGUGGGGUAACGGCUCACCUAGGCGACGAUCCCUAGCUGGUCUGAGAGGAUGACCAGCCACACUGGAACUGAGACACGGUCCAGACUCCUACGGGAGGCAGCAGUGGGGAAUAUUGCACAAUGGGCGCAAGCCUGAUGCAGCCAUGCCGCGUGUAUGAAGAAGGCCUUCGGGUUGUAAAGUACUUUCAGCGGGGAGGAAGGGAGUAAAGUUAAUACCUUUGCUCAUUGACGUUACCCGCAGAAGAAGCACCGGCUAACUCCGUGCCAGCAGCCGCGGUAACAC